GUGUGUGUGUGUGUGUGUGCCCUCCCUCCCUUCCUCCCUCGCACCACCACCACCAGUACCACCACUACCACCACCGUCACCACCACCGCCUUCUUCUCAACUAUAAACCCUCUGUACAAUCCUCCUCCUUUUUGACGCUUGACAAUGAAAAUGGUCCAUGAGGAAUGUGUAGGCAAUGUUUGUGGCCCACUGGCGUGUGUUGUGAACAACUCGAUGGCUGACUGUUCCUCAAAAUUUGUUAUUUACGUUUAACACAUGAAUGUUGUAUCACCUGUUGAGCUUUAAUUAUUUCGCCGCCGCUACUACUACUACUACUACUACUACUACAACUACUAGG
Molecule: long non-coding RNA, 337 nt
Organism: Scylla paramamosain (green mud crab)
Lineage: Eukaryota; Metazoa; Arthropoda; Malacostraca; Decapoda; Portunidae
Exons: 2
Source: RefSeq, a predicted model, not a curated record